CAGCAGAUCCAGGUCUGGCAUCACAGCAUUGGUAAUGGCCGGCGUACAUGGACCUGCAGAACAAAAAGAGGAGGAUUGAGUUCUCACUGUAUCUCCUGGAUUACCAAGUUUACCAAGAGCAGGAAGCCAUGUGCUGGGGAGCUUUGCACCCUUCAUGCAUUCUACACCCUCCAGGGCUUUCACUAGACACACAUGAUCUUUUUUGUUGUAGUAGUGCUUGCAGGUUCACGUAUGUGUGUGUGCAUGCAUGCACAUGUAGAGCUAAUCUCUAUCCUGUGGUUUUACCAUCUAGCCAUGGCAAGUGAGUGAGUGUAAUACAGCCAGAUUAAUCAAUGAGGAUAAGGGUGUCAGCAGAAAUACUGAUGGUGCUAAUGUCCUCGCAACAGUGGUGGCAGAUGCAGUAGGAACUCCACCUGAAGGAGAGCACCAGCCCCUGGCACUUAGUGGGGAUAUCAAAAUGGCAGUUGCCCAAAUAGUCUCUGCCAUAACAACAGCAGCUGGGUUGCAUCUGGGUGCAGGGACACUGUGCUACUGCUGCAGCAGCAAGAACCAGGAUGGACAGAGCAUACUUGCUCUAGCACUACCAACUAGGGACUCUAAAUCCCCAGAAUAGGUAAUACCCCUGUUCUAUGCUCUGCACUUGGCACCUCCUUCCUUCCAGUGCUCAGCAGCACUUCCUUGCCUCCCCAGCCCCCCAUAGCCAUUCUUCAGCAUAGCUUUGCUUAAGGCAUAAACCCUACUAGUUAGGCCUCUAAGCAGAAGCAGGGAGCUGUGGAAGGCUGUCCUAAUGUUGUAUCUGUCUGCUCUUUUCCCAGCAUUUCCUCCCUUUGCCCCAAGAGCCCACUCCGUCUGUGGGGUUUGUCCCGUUAAAAUGAGCAUUGCUGUUAGGCCACCCAUGACUCACAUCUACCAGCUGGGCAGAUGUUGCCUGCUAAACCAGUCCCACUGCUGAGCCAGUUGCUUUCUGUUGCACAUAUCUAACUCCCCUUGGUGUGCUCAUGGAGCUACACAGAGCUAAACAUAGUGUCCCUAGAGGAGCCAUGCCAGAGACACAGAGGGACACCAGCCCCCCUCAGCUCUAUGAUGUGAGGAGAAAAGGAAGAGAGCUAGCGACCUGUUUGUAGGUAAGGAGUGGUGUCUGGUGGUAUUUGUCUCCCUGACAGGAGGCGUAUCUGCAGGGGAGUGUGGAAAGCAGCCCUUGUGCAGGAUUGGUUGUACCUGUGUGAAGCAGACAUGAGGCCUUAUGAGGUGGCAGAGGCACUGGGAGCUAGAGAUCAGUCUGCAACAGGCUUGGAUUAUGGCAAUCAGACCAGACUGUGCAAGACAGGGACUAAUAGCAGCAAGAUGAGAUGUUUACCUGGAGGAAAGAGCUGUGACCCUCGGAUCUGAAGACAGACCAGAGCCAUGGUGUGGAGAUGAGGAGGAGUGCAGCCUGACAAUCACCACAGCCCUGUCCCCUGCCUGGGACACAUCACCUGUAGCUUCUUCACCUCCACCAGUGCUCCCCUGGGGGGAACACCCACCAGACACACCUCACCCAGCCACAGACCUAGAAGGGCAGUACCAGGGCAUAGGGUGGCAUAGCCCACUACCCCAGCCAACACAAGAGCUCAGAGGCAAGGGGACCACACAACCUAUGCCACACAAGAAGCACGGUGGCCUGUGCAUGUUGCAGUGGGUGGGGGUGUCUGUAAGGGGCUGGGAACACUUUGCUGCUUGCAGUGCUGGUUCAGUGCAUAUUUGUGGGCUGAGCAAGUCCCCAUGUUCAUGAGCUUCUCAUUCCAGGCUAGGCUGUAGUCCAUAUAAAGUCCUGAGCUGGAUCUUGGCAGGCAAUGCAAGCAUGCAUGUAGCUUGGCCUAGGUAUGCUCUGCCCCUGAGCAUUAGACAAUAGUCCUGCCCUGGCAAAGGAAGCAAUCUCUUUACUGAGGUAUCUGAACAGCUGUGUGACCCCUGUGAUACCAACAGCACGCAAUGGGCCCACGAGCCUCAGAUACUAAUCCUGGUCUGAUAUGAUGGAGCAGAGCUCAGUACAGGCCACCCUCACAGGUUUUAGAUCCUCAGAGUGGUGGGCUAUGGCUUAGCCUACAAAAUAAAAGCUUUGCUUAUACCGCUAGAGCAGCAUGGGACAUAUGGCCUGGAAAGUGCUUUCCCCAGUGUGCAGUAUGUUAUGCCUGCAAAAGCACUUGAACUGGAAUAAGUACAUCUGUACCCAGACUUUUGCCAGCACAGAAAAGUCACCAAAAGGACUUAAUUCACCCUGUAACUGCCACUGCAACACUGACAAGAGGUUCCAGUGCUGACCUGGCCACACAGCAGGAUAGCUUGGAACAAGCUUAUCAAAGAAGGCCCCCAACAGAUGCCUGACUGGCUACUGCUGCAGACAGAAGGACAGUACUAUCAGCUUAAUGUCCUGAAGCAGCAAAGUGAGGUCAGGGAUGGAGAAGGGAGACGCUGCCUGAAUUAUGGUGAGUGGUCUCUAGUUGGAGAAGCUCAGAGGGUUACUGCUGCAAAAAACUGAAGCUGCUACAAGCCUUUUGUCACUGUCCUGUCUGAUGGUAGUUGUGCCUUCUCUAGUUGUUUGUGCCAAAAGACGAUCUCAUUGACAUAUCAAGAAAGAGGCCAAUGCAAGAGACAUUCCCUCCAGAAAGGCCUGAGCGAUGAGGUCUAGGCACUAGAAAAAGCAACUGUUCCAGAAAUGCCAUGAGGUGUUUUUAUCUGGGCAGGCUUUUAGCAAGAGAGGUUAAGUUUGUGGAUCUUGACGUUCAUUACAUGUUACUCUAUUUUAAUAUUUUAUCUGCUUUUUACCAUGUAUCUUGUUUAUUAUUGUAAGCCACCCUGAGCCUUUUCUAAUAAACAGGAAAAUUAAUAAAAAAAUAAAAAACAUAGCUUAAACCUUA
This is a long non-coding RNA of Alligator mississippiensis (American alligator), 2897 nucleotides long. RefSeq lists it as uncharacterized. The transcript is spliced from 2 exons. Lineage: Eukaryota; Metazoa; Chordata; Crocodylia; Alligatoridae. The record is from RefSeq and is a predicted model, not a curated record.